AAGGCCCUAGCUUAGUUAAAGCGCUUGAGUUGCAUUUAGGAGAUGCAGGCUAGAAUCCUGCGGGUCUUA
This 69-nucleotide transfer RNA is filed under the name Certhia familiaris (Eurasian tree-creeper). RNAcentral describes it as "tRNA-Ala". It matches the Rfam family "tRNA". Rfam says of the family: Transfer RNA (tRNA) molecules are approximately 80 nucleotides in length. Their secondary structure includes four short double-helical elements and three loops (D, anti-codon, and T loops). The record is from RNAcentral. Lineage: Eukaryota; Metazoa; Chordata; Aves; Passeriformes; Certhiidae.